UGGGUGGACGAGGACGACAUCGUCUCCCACAUCUUGGCCGGGCUCGAUGAAGAUUUCGACCCGGUGGUGUCCACCAUGUGUUCCCGGGAGGAGCCGGUGAUCGUGGCCGAGCUGUUUUCACAACUGCUAAGCUUCGAAA
Molecule: non-coding RNA, 139 nt
Organism: Triticum urartu
Lineage: Eukaryota; Viridiplantae; Streptophyta; Magnoliopsida; Poales; Poaceae
Source: Rfam